This is a long non-coding RNA of Helianthus annuus (common sunflower), 3684 nucleotides long. RefSeq lists it as uncharacterized. Lineage: Eukaryota; Viridiplantae; Streptophyta; Magnoliopsida; Asterales; Asteraceae. The transcript has 4 exons. The record is from RefSeq and is a predicted model, not a curated record.
CUGGUUCCCUCCAAGAUUUUUCCACCUAAACCAAAUCCGGCUUCAAUUCCAUUUUCCCCCAAAUUCGCUACCUUCACCCUUUCUAGUGUUCUUCUAUCUCUAUAUCUUCCCCUCCAUAUCAGUAUAAACCUAGAAUUCACGCUUUUAUUUGUUGCUUUUCCUCUUUUGUUCUCUCGCUCCUCCUUUCUAACCGGCGAAACUGGCGAUGUUAAUAAACACCGGCGACCCUCGUUCUACAAAUCUAUCGGCGAAACUGCAUCAGCUAUGUUCUUGACAAUCAUCGAAGUCCCUCCUUCCAGUGCAAAAUAUUUGUUAGGCUACAAGUAAUUUGCCAGAUAGGGUGUGAUCUGGUGGUUUUCGUUGCAAUUCUAGUUGGGCAUGGAAGAUCUAAUCUUUAGUUGAUUCGUAUAGCCAAACUAAACUAUUGUCGGGUAUCACUUCAUUUUCUCCCAACUUUUAUUUUUAACAUUUUGUGUUUGGUAUUUUUGUUUCGUGUCUUGAAGUAUUGAUGUGAAUUUCAUUGAUAGGCUAGAUUUAGGUUGUUAGGGUUUAUGACUUUGUUUACGACACUGGGUUAAGGUUUCUGUAUUUUGGUCGCUGAAAAGUUAAGACUUGAUUAUUCGAUUUAAUUUAAGUUAUUAAUCUGUUUUUCUGACCAUUAGGCUAUUUGACCCGAAACUUUCUGGCUUUACAUGUUUGACUAGGUAAACAUAUAAAACAAAUCAACUCGUAUUUAGUCCGUUGAACAUGAUGUUUGGGUUGAGAUAACUGAAUAAGAAUUCUGAGGCAACUUGAAAGAACAUAGCUUACACUACUAACAAUCCAUUUGCCAGUAAGUUCAUAAGAUACAGACCUAUGUUGAAAAGCAAAAAUCCAAAAAACAAAAAAAAAAAAAAGAGAUGUCUAAAUUAUGUAAAAGUUGGAACUCAUUACCUGGUUUCAGAUGGGUGUGGGGGCAAUUUAAAAAAAAAAACAAUAAAAAAGCCCCAAACAAGAUUCGAACUUGUUAUGUCAGCUCUAGAAGGGGACAACUUACUCAUUGCGCCAUUCAUCAAUUUUCCUAAUGGGUUCAUCCCCAAAUGUUAUUUAUGGGUGCAUCCCUUAUUAUUUAAUAGCAUUUCUAUUAACAAUUUAAAACCGAGAGGGUUCAUGUGAACCCAUUGAACCCAGCCUAGAUCCGCCCCUGCAGAAGAUACACCAAACAAAUAUGGCAUAUGAGUGUAUCAUAAACUUGCAUUAGUUAUUCUUUGUUAUAUUCCACGAUAAUUCAGUUUGGAUAAAAGUAAUUUCUUCCAUCUCUUAAGUAUUAAUGCUUUUAUUAGUAGAUAAAAAGAUGUGAAAUCCAAGUAUGCCUUCCACCAUAGUUGUCAAUAGCGAGCGUAGCGAUCGCUAUAUAGCAUAUAGGUCUAGGCUCGCUAUUAGGGUUGUAGCGAUAGAUAGCGACAAUUUAUUUUAUUUUUUUGUUUUUUUUAAAUAUAAUAACUAUUAAAUAUAGCGAGAUUUUAGGUUUUUGUUAAAUAUACAUGUAAAAUAGCAUAUAUACCAGAGUAUUUUGAUAUAAUGUACAUAUUACUUUUUAAUUUUUUUUCUAGUGUAUUGCUAUUUAUAAAUAGCUACCUGCUAUUUAUCGCUAUUCGUUAUGUAGCAUAUAGACUUUAUUACUAUUUGUCAUUAUUCGCCAUUAACAAUUAUGCCUUCCACAAAAAAGACUUGAAAAGGAUCCCUUAGAAACAAUUGCUGAGCUUAUCGAGUCUUAUCAUGAGUUCAUGCCUGUUUGCAGUCACCGAAAACUGUCAUCUGAGCAUAGUUUAGACUUUUAGUACUCGAUUGGAGGCUAACAAGACAGAUUCAGAUUACGUCAAAUCAAUUAUCUAUGAAAAAUUGCGAGUUGUAAGUUCUUAUCUUGUAUUUAUGCUUCUAGUUCAACGUUUUUGAUAAGACCUUGAAAUUGAAAGAUAAAAUUGAUAGAAUAAUCCAAUCCGAGAAGGAUUAGAUCUCCGAUUACAAAGGUAUAAAAACCUUAAUUUUUUAUAAAUAAACAUCCACACCAUCAGCCUAAAUCUCUAAGGACUUAUAAAAACAAAAGGUAAAACUGUCCCAUGAUUUACUCCUCUAUUUCUGGUAACUAAAUAAUUGAGGUUGACCCGAGUUGACCCAUGACUCAAAAUAUGAAUCUGCUCCAUAACUGUGUCGGGUUUGACCCAAUUAAUUCUGCGGGUUAACCAGGAUUGUAUCAGUUUUUUUCAAACACCCUACUUUUUCGGUCUUUUGGUUAUCACACAAGGUACAUUUUAGCCUACAAAAUGAUCUUAAUAUUGAAUUUGUUCAAUACAUAACAAUUAGAACAUAAUUUCAGAUUUUGCAGCAAAUAUUAUUUAUCAAGUUCUAUAUCUUUGGUUCACUACUUUUAGUCAAGUUCAAUAUAUAUUACAACAAUAGAUGAGACCUGGCAACUAUGUAGAAACUCACGUUGAAAGCACAAAAGAAACUGGGAGAGUAAGUCAAAAGAAAAAAUGUGGGUGCGUGUUAGAGUGUAGUGCCGACGAAGAUGAGAAACAAAGAAAGAGUGGAAUCUGGUAAACACCAUAUUGAGACUCAAAACUCAACCAUCAUUCUAGAUUUGUCAACAAGAUUUGGUGAGCAUCAUUUUUAUCUUUUUGUGCAAAUUUUAAUGUCAGGGAAGCAAACCAAUUGGAAUCACUCUCUAGGCAGUUACUUUUAGUAAAUACAUUUUGUCGUCUUCUUCAUUUAGUUGUAUCAAUGGGAUUUGGUGUUCUACGGCCUACUUUAGGAGGUGUAACUUUGAAGGUGUUGCUUCUUCCUGAGUUGAGUAAUCUGCAUAAUUAUUAUGAAGUCUGACAUGGUCGUAUUAGGGGACACUAGUGAUAGAAUUCCAUCACUCACAAUAUCCAAUCAUGUUCCGCCAUGUCAGCAACCAUUUUUCCAUCACUCACAACCAUUUUUAGUGGCGGUGGUCAUCACUCACCACCACAUCCAACAAUUUCCCCACAACCAACAGCUACCCUCACAACUAACAACUAUCACGCCGUGAAAAAAAUCACAGAAUCGGGUUUACGUUGAACUAUCACGCGUGGAACUUGGAGUGGCGGUGGGAAUCUUCUUUUUUCCACGCGUUAUUUUUGUGUAUCACGGUGGUAUAACGCACCACCCCCACCUCUCUUAUUCUGCAAAUUUCGACUCGGAUAUGUAGAAGCAUGUGCAAACUUGAACUAUAAAGAAAGUUUACUAACGUUUUAGCUUUAUCAGUAUUGGUUUUUGUUGCUUGGAUUGGUUACAAGGUACUCUGCCUUCAUAUGCAUUCAAGUGAUUAUAUUUAUGUUGUACUUCAACGCAAGUGAUUCCUUGAGUGAACCAUGGAAACGAUCUUGAGUUGUGACAUGCCUUCUCUGGUCUCAUACCUGAUAUUCGUACUCAGAGGAGGUUGAGGAUAUACACCCAGUGGAAUCAAAGUAUCAGGAGUAUUGUUGAGAAAAAACUAGCAAUUAUAGCAGAUUAUGUGUUCGAGGUCACUAAAGAGGACGAAGGAGAAUGAUGCAACUACAAUUAGUUAUCAGUGUGUAAAUAUUUAGAGGUUGGAACAUGUUACUUGUUACACAAUAUGUUUUGGAUUGAACUUACAAUUGAGGAUAUAAUCUAAUGAUUUCUUCAUUUACAAUAAUCUAA